AUUGAACGCUGGCGGCAUGCCUUACACAUGCAAGUCGAACGGCAGCACGGGUGCUUGCACCUGGUGGCGAGUGGCGAACGGGUGAGUAAUACAUCGGAACAUGUCCUGUAGUGGGGGAUAGCCCGGCGAAAGCCGGAUUAAUACCGCAUACGAUCUACGGCUGAAAGCGGGGGACCUUCGGGCCUCGCGCUAUAGGGUUGGCCGAUGGCUGAUUAGCUAGUUGGUGGGGUAAAGGCCUACCAAGGCGACGAUCAGUAGCUGGUCUGAGAGGACGACCAGCCACACUGGGACUGAGACACGGCCCAGACUCCUACGGGAGGCAGCAGUGGGAAAUUUUGGACAAUGGGCGAAAGCCUGAUCCAGCAAUGCCGCGUGUGUGAAGAAGGCCUUCGGGUUGUAAAGCACUUUUGUCCGGAAAGAAAUCCUUGGCCCUAAUACGGUCGGGGGAUGACGGUACCGGAAGAAUAAGCACCGGCUAACUACGUG
Molecule: ribosomal RNA, 486 nt
Filed under: uncultured bacterium
Lineage: Bacteria
Description: partial 16S ribosomal RNA
Rfam family: Bacterial small subunit ribosomal RNA
Source: RNAcentral